GCCGAGAUAGCCUAGGUGGUCAUGGCGCGUGUCUGAAGAACACGUUAUGCGGGUUCGACUCCUGCUCUCGGCACCG
This 76-nucleotide transfer RNA is filed under the name Candidatus Levybacteria bacterium RIFCSPHIGHO2_01_FULL_38_26. RNAcentral describes it as "tRNA-Phe". It matches the Rfam family "tRNA". Rfam says of the family: Transfer RNA (tRNA) molecules are approximately 80 nucleotides in length. Their secondary structure includes four short double-helical elements and three loops (D, anti-codon, and T loops). Further hydrogen bonds mediate the characteristic L-shaped molecular structure. tRNAs have two regions of fundamental functional importance: the anti-codon, which is responsible for specific mRNA codon recognition, and the 3' end, to which the tRNAs corresponding amino acid is attached (by aminoacyl-tRNA synthetases). tRNAs cope with the degeneracy of the genetic code in two manners: having more than one tRNA (with a specific anti-codon) for a particular amino acid; and 'wobble' base-pairing, i.e. permitting non-standard base-pairing at the 3rd anti-codon position. The record is from RNAcentral. Lineage: Bacteria; Candidatus Levyibacteriota.